CCUACGGGAGGCAGCAGUGAGGAAUAUUGGUCAAUGGCCGGAAGGCUGAACCAGCCAAGCCGCGUGAAGGACGAAGGUGCCAAGCAUUGUAAACUUCUUUUGUCAAGGGACAAAAUCAGGCUCGAGAGCCUGCCUGAGUGUACCCGAAGAAAAAGCAUCGGCUAACUCCGUGCCAGCAGCCGCGGUAAUACGGAGGAUGCGAGCGUUAUCCGGAUUUAUUGGGUUUAAAGGGUGCGUAGGCGGGCUGUAAAGUCAGCGGUAAAAGCCCGGGGCUCAACCCCGGCGAGCCGUUGAAACUGGCAGUCUUGAGAGGGCGAGAGGUAGGCGGAAUGCGCGGUGUAGCGGUGAAAUGCUUAGAUAUUGUGCAGAACUCCGAUUGCGAAGGCAGCAUACCGGCGGCGAUCUGACGCUGAGGCACGAAAGCGUGGGGAUCGAACAGGAUUAGAUACCCCAGUAGUC
This 459-nucleotide ribosomal RNA is filed under the name uncultured bacterium. RNAcentral describes it as "partial 16S ribosomal RNA". It matches the Rfam family "Bacterial small subunit ribosomal RNA", at positions 338 to 795 of the family's 1533-position model. The record is from RNAcentral.